This 1827-nucleotide long non-coding RNA is filed under the name Bos indicus x Bos taurus (hybrid cattle). RNAcentral describes it as "lncRNA (ENSBIXG00005002977.1)". Lineage: Eukaryota; Metazoa; Chordata; Mammalia; Artiodactyla; Bovidae. The record is from RNAcentral.
GCUGUCUGGCCCAGGAGGCUGGGAGACUGGUUUUGCGGGGCACACUUGACACCUGGUGAGCCCUAGCCGCCAGGCAGCUGCCACAGUGACUGCUGCUCUUGGGUAAGUACGAACUCCAAGAGGGACAACCAGAGUCCAGGAACACUUCCCGCCUGCCCUCCCCGCGGCGGCGCCCCUCCCAACCACAUCACCGAGAGCGAGCCACUUAUUAACUCCUUUCAGACACGGAAACUGCAGCUGGGAGGGAGGAAGUGACUGGUCCGAGGUCUCAGAGUAGAGAAAUGGACUAAGUUCUGAUUCCGAGGCUGGGGCUGCUGCUUCAAGGCGGGAGAGAUACAUAGUCCUCCUGAGCAUCGGGAGCAAGGAGGGGUGGAGAGUGAGGGGAGGCAGAAAGAAAGAAGAGAGUGUGGGUGAUAAUGGUGAGAACGACCGAGGAGAGAGGGUAAGAGAAUCAGCACCACGGAGGCAGAGAAAACAGGCGCCGCGAGCAAGAGAGCUGGGGACAGCGGGAGGGACUGGGAGAGGAAGGUAGACAGAGAAACGCGACAGAGACCGGGAGAUGGAGAGACACACGGGGAGGCGGGCAGAGACGGACCGACGGAACUGCCCGAGCUAGUGACAGUGCGGGGGGAGCGCGCGGCGGGCGCGGGCGGGCGGCGGGCGGGGGAGGAGAGGCCAGGAUGCGGCGCCGCGCGGGCCCCCGCCCCCGCCCCCGCCCGGGCCGCACGCGCCCGCAGCCGGAUGACCGCCGCCCCGCCCGCGACGCCGGCCCGUGCGGACCCGAGGCGGCCGGCAGCUGGCGGCGCGGGCCGGGCCGGGGAGUCCCGAGCCCCGCAGCGACGGCGGCAGUGCCCCGGCUCGGCUGGCCCUGAUUGAUUUGUCAGCCGAAGGGAUCCGCGCGACGGGUCCUCGGCUUCCCCAAGCGCGAGGCCUCCCUUCCGCGCCUCGCCUGGCUCCCGGGCCGGUCCCGCAGGCUGGAGCUCCCCGCCCCCCGCCCCGGGCCCCGGCGCCCCUCCUCGGCCCCGCUCUCCGCGCCCCUCCUCCGGCUCGGCCGUGUUCGCCCGCGGGCCCUGGGGCUGCCCGCUGCCCCCUCGCCCCCCCUGGGCACCGUGCCAGCACCCCCAGCCCUCACCCUGCUGCUCCCCCCCAGCCCCGCGCCCCCGCCCCUCGCCCCUCGGCCCUGGCCCGGGGCCGCCCGCCGAGCCGGCCACACCCGCGGCGGAGGACUCGGAAAGGUUGGAGAGAGACCGGGAAGAGAGAGUGGGAACUACACGCCGGGCCAUUAAUUGGGCCGUAGCUCGCUUGGAGCCAGGGUAAGCUGACUGGCCGCCCUCCCCGGGAGCCAUAGCUCCCGCCGGUUCCUGCCGCUCUGGCUCAGCCGGGUCCGCAGGAGGCCUGCACGGCAGCCCGCAGCCUCGCAGCGCGAAGCCCAGGCGGAAGACAGGACUCGGCGGGAAGCGGCCGAAGGCUCCCCGAGCUCUGCUUCAGGCCGGCCUUCCCAGGCUUCCCCAGCCGGUGCCCGAGGGGCGGCUCCGGGCCGAGGGAUUACCCGAGGGAGCCCUUCCUCAAGCAUCUUCUGGCGGCUGCGCCUUCUUAGGAUGGAGACGGCGGGGAGAGAAGGUUUAGUUUUCCUUCCCGAAGAAAAUCGCAGCAAACUGUUUGUAGCUUAAAACUCCAAACCCCGCGCUCCCCCUCCUCCCUCGCUGGCUCCCGCCCCCGCCCCCCAGCCUCGCCCACCAGCUCCCACCAUCUCGUCGCUCCUCUCCUCCUCUUGCGGUUCCCCUCCCUCUCGGGUCUCCCGCCUUCCCAGAGCACGCGCUGCCGGGG